CGGGGACGCUGAGACAGGUGGUGCAUGGCUGUCGUCAGCUCGUGUCGUGAGAUGUUGGGUUAAGUCCCGCAACGAGCGCAACCCUUGUCAUUAGUUGCCAUCAUUAAGUUGGGCACUCUAAUGAGACUGCCGGUGACAAACCGGAGGAAGGUGGGGAUGACGUCAAGUCAUCAUGCCCCUUAUGACCUGGGCUACACACGUGCUACAAUGGACGGUACAACGAGAAGCGAACCUGCGAAGGCAAGCGGAUCUCUUAAAGCCGUUCUCAGUUCGGACUGUAGGCUGCAACUCGCCUACACGAAGCUGGAAUCGCUAGUAAUCGCGGAUCAGCACGCCGCGGUGAAUACGUUCCCGGGCCUUGUACACACCGCCCGUCACACCAUGAGAGUCUGUAACACCCAAAGCCGGUGGGAUAACCUUUAUAGGAGUCAGCCGUCUAAGGUAGGACAGAUGAUUAGGGUGAAGUCGUAACAAGGUAGCCGU
Molecule: ribosomal RNA, 483 nt
Filed under: uncultured bacterium
Lineage: Bacteria
Description: bacterial SSU rRNA
Rfam family: Bacterial small subunit ribosomal RNA
Source: RNAcentral